RNAcentral lists this long non-coding RNA (212 nucleotides) under Fukomys damarensis (Damara mole-rat). Its description in RNAcentral is "lncRNA (ENSFDAG00000028332.1)". The record is from RNAcentral. Lineage: Eukaryota; Metazoa; Chordata; Mammalia; Rodentia; Bathyergidae.
GAAGACACCAGGACCUUUUCAGUUAUUCUCACAUUUUGCCCUCAGGUUUCCAACCUGGACCAGCUCUAAGUACUACAUGUUAAAUGAGAGGCAUCUCAAGCAGAGAGAAUGAAGGAAGAGGUAAGAUUCAGGAUGGCGAGUUCUUGGAAAACUUUUACAAUCUAACACAGGAACAGGCACUUCUUGGAGUGAAUGAAAGAAUGAAUAUAUGA